CUAGAGAUAGAAAGUUACUUCGGUACAUCGGUGACAGUGGUGCAUGGUUGUCGUCAGCUCGUGUCGUGAGAUGUUGGGUUAAGUCCCGCAACGAGCGCAACCCCUAUUGUUAGUUGCCAUCAUUCAGUUGGGCACUCUAGCGAGACUGCCGGUAAUAAACCGGAGGAAGGUGGGGAUGACGUCAAACCAUCAUGCCCCUUAUGACCUGGGCUACACACGUGCUACAAUGGUUGGUACAACGAGUUGCGAGUCGGUGACGGCGAGCUAAUCUCUUAAAGCCAAUCUCAGUUCGGAUUGUAGGCUGCAACUCGCCUACAUGAAGUCGGAAUCGCUAGUAAUCGCGGAUCAGCACGCCGCGGUGAAUACGUUCCCGGGCCUU
This 379-nucleotide ribosomal RNA is filed under the name uncultured Streptococcus sp. RNAcentral describes it as "bacterial SSU rRNA". It matches the Rfam family "Bacterial small subunit ribosomal RNA", at positions 1000 to 1382 of the family's 1533-position model. The record is from RNAcentral. Lineage: Bacteria; Bacillati; Bacillota; Bacilli; Lactobacillales; Streptococcaceae.